RNAcentral lists this long non-coding RNA (1677 nucleotides) under Homo sapiens (human). RNAcentral describes it as "HSALNT0316146". Lineage: Eukaryota; Metazoa; Chordata; Mammalia; Primates; Hominidae. The record is from RNAcentral.
AAGAAAAAUUUGUUCAGCAUAUGAGUGGUAGAUACGACCAAAGCUACAUCUCUCAGCAAGUCAGUGCUCCAGCUUAAGCAACAAGAAAAAAAAAAGCUCUAUAUAGAACUGUGACAAACAUAGUUACUGCAUGGAACUAAGAAAAUGAUGUUUGUAGCGUGUAGAAGCUAGAAAAGAAAGAUGAAAUCAAUUUAAACUUUUUCAAAACCAAUAGCUAGACUGAGACUGUUCAGUCCUGAAUAUAUAUGUGUACAUAUGUGUAUGUACACAUAUAUACAAACAUUGGGUUCUCAUUUUGUUUUGGAAAGGUGAAGCUGGUCACCCCCAGAGUUAAUGGGAAAAUAUGUGGGAUUAGAAAUUGUGCCCCAGUAUUCUGGGACUCCUGCCCAAGCCACAGUGAUGGCUUUUCCCCUCUUAUGAUUGCUGCUGUACUGAAAUUUACCAUCAGUCAGCCAUAGAACAGAGCAACUCCCAAGGUUCCAGCUACUACAGUGACUCAUUUGGUGUGUCAUCAUUCCCUGGAGAAUGGAGGUACCACAUCAAAUCAUGGCCCAUCCUAAAGUCUAGUGCCACUGAAAUUUACAGCCACAGAACUGAAUUAAUCAAGAGGAACAACAACAACAAGAGUUCUCUUCCAAAAUGAUAGCUUUUUUGUAGCUCUGAAAUGAGAGGAACCCAAUCCAGAAGAAUCCACAGAAGGAGGAAAAGCCAGCAGAAAGGCAGCAGAUUAGACACAAAAUUGUAAUUGUUAGUACGCAACUGAUAAAUACAAAAGGGCGAAGAGAAUGUCAAUCCAGAAUGAUGCAAAUCCCUUCAUUAUUACUCUCGGUAUACGUCGUUACUUUAAGAUGUUAAAAAAGAGUAAACCAAAAAGCUUCACGUUCAUUUUACAGAAAAGAUUCUCAAGAGAUUUAAAUAGAAAAAAUGGAUAGUAAUUCAUCCCAAAUUAAUUUUCAACUUUCAAAUUUUAGCCUCCAUACUCCUCUUUAAGGCUACCUGGGGGUCUAUCAUGUUACAGCAGUGAAGCUGGAUGCUAAGUUGUUACGACGCCUGUUGGACCCUGCUUAAAAAGUUUGGUCCAGAAAAUAUAGUCCUGGAGGCAUGAAAAAUAGCAGAAAAACUGUAAUAUUAAUUCAUGUGGAAAAUAAUAUGGGGAAAGAGUAGAAGAGAUUAGAGAAGUUCAUAGAAAGUACCCAAGUCUCUUUAACUGCUACUUUCAACAUCUUUUUGCCAAAGUUGCUGAGUAGAAAUUAUGGAAUGAUAGGAGUUGUUUCUCUUCCUGUUUUAUAGUUAAAGGACUGCUAAUGAUCAGCAAAUAGCCAAAGGCAGAGGAGUCAAUCCAAGAUCUCUUCGGUUCUUUCCUAAUCAGAACACAGAUUUACAAAGAUGACACAACUGUCCGGAGGUCACACUGAAAUUAUAGACAGAGCUGGAGUUCUGAUUUCUGAAAGUCCUAUUCUCAGUCACUAUGCUAAAUGAGCCUCUAAGGGACAUACCAGGGAUACAACAGCCCUUUUAAUCCGGAAGAACGAGGGGCUGAAGGAAAUAAAAAGUAAGCCUGAACCAGACCAGAGAAUUAAAAUGGUAUGCGUUUAAGUUUGGUUUAUUUAAAUAUUUGCUCUAAGAAUAUGAAGUUGCCUAUAAAUAGAAAAAAGAUAACAGAAUGGCUGUUUUCUU